Molecule: ribosomal RNA, 253 nt
Filed under: uncultured Deinococcus sp.
Lineage: Bacteria; Thermotogati; Deinococcota; Deinococci; Deinococcales; Deinococcaceae
Description: partial 16S ribosomal RNA
Rfam family: Bacterial small subunit ribosomal RNA
Source: RNAcentral
UACGGAGGGUGCAAGCGUUACCCGGAAUCACUGGGCGUAAAGGGCGUGUAGGCGGGAGCUCAAGUCUGGUUUUAAAGACCGCAGCUCAACUGCGGGGUGGGACUGGAUACUGAGGACCUAGACAUCUGGAGAGAGAACCGGAAUUCCUGGUGUAGCGGUGGAAUGCGUAGAUACCAGGAGGAACACCAAUGGCGAAGGCAGGUUUUUGGACAGAAUGUGACGCUGAGGCGCGAAAGUGUGGGGAGCAAACCGG